UUCCGGUUGAUCCCGCCAGACCCUACUGCUAUCGGGGUGGGACUAAAACAGGCGAGUCGAACGACUUCUAGCCAUGAUGAAGUCGUGGCAUACGGCUCAGUAACACGUGGCUAACCUACCCUUGAGACGGAGACAACCCCGGGAAACUGGGGCUAAUCCCAGAUAGAUGAGAACUCCUGGAACGGGUUCUCGUCCAAAAGGCAUCAAGGUCAUGCUUCUUGGUGUCGCUCAAGGAUGGGGCCGCGGCCGAUCAGGCUGUUGGUGAGGCAACGGCUCACCAAACCUAUAACCGGUACGGGCCGUGGGAGCGGGUGCCCGGAGAUGGGAACUGAGACAAGGUCCCAGGCCCUACGGGGCGCAGCCGUUGCGAAAACUCGUCAAUGCACGAAAGUGUGAACGGGCUACCCCGAGUGCCGUCCGCUGAGGAUGGCUUUUCUCUGCUGUAAGGAGGCGGAGGAAUAAGGAGAGGGCAAGUCUGGUGUCAGCCGCCGCGGUAAUACCAGCUCUCCGAGUGGUGGGGACGAUUAUUGGGCCUAAAGCGUCCGUAGCCUGCCCCUCAAGUCUCUCGUUAAAUCCAGCGAUUCAAUCGUUGGACUGCGGGAGAUACUGUUGGGCUAGGAGGCGGGAGAAGCCGACGGUAUUCCCGGGGUAGGGGUAAAAUCCUAUAAUCCCGGGAGGACCACCAGUGGCGUAGGCGGUCGGCUAGCACGUGCUCGACGGUGAGGGACGAAAGCUGGGGGAGCAAACCGGAUUAGAUACCCGGAUAGUCCCAGCUGUAAAUGAUGCGGGCUAGGUGUUUGGAGUGGCCACGAGCCACUUCAGUGCCGCAGGGAAGCCAUUAAGCCCGCCGCCUGGGGAGUACGGCCGCAAGGCUGAAACUUAAAGGAAUUGGCGGGGGAGCACCACAAGGCGUGAAGCUUGCGGUUCAAAUGGAGUCAACGCCGG
RNAcentral lists this ribosomal RNA (945 nucleotides) under uncultured archaeon. RNAcentral describes it as "bacterial SSU rRNA". It matches the Rfam family "Archaeal small subunit ribosomal RNA", at positions 1 to 921 of the family's 1478-position model. The record is from RNAcentral.